AUAUAUCCAAAAUCAAGAAUGUGGAACAUACUCUAUCUGACAUAAUCAUUUGGUAACUGAUGCAAUUUUUUGCCCGUCUUGAAAAUAAAAAAACUAAAUAUAAAAUAAACAACUCUGCUAAUGCUCAGGUUGGUUGUCAUAUUAUGCAACAUAGUUAAUAAUAUAGAAACCAAUGGGGAAAACAUAGAACUUCUUUUGUCAUACAAAAC
RNAcentral lists this long non-coding RNA (209 nucleotides) under Mytilus galloprovincialis (Mediterranean mussel). The record is from RNAcentral. Lineage: Eukaryota; Metazoa; Mollusca; Bivalvia; Mytilida; Mytilidae.